GAUGAACGCUAGCGGCAGGCUUAACACAUGCAAGUCGAGGGGUAACAGGGAAGAGCUUGCUUUUCCGCUGACGACCGGCGCACGGGUGAGUAACGCGUAUAGAACCUACCUUUUACAGGGGAAUAGCCCAGAGAAAUUUGGAUUAAUGCCCUAUAGUAUUAUUGAAUGGCAUCAUUUAGUAAUUAAACAUUUAUGGGUAAAAGAUGGCUAUGCGUUCUAUUAGCUAGAUGGUAAGGUAACGGCUUACCAUGGCAACGAUAGAUAGGGGUCCUGAGAGGGAGAUCCCCCACACUGGUACUGAGACACGGACCAGACUCCUACGGGAGGCAGCAGUGAGGAAUAUUGGACAAUGGAGGCAACUCUGAUCCAGCCAUGCCGCGUGCAGGAAGACGGCCCUAUGGGUUGUAAACUGCUUUUAUACGGGAAGAAACCCAACUACGUGUAGUUGGCUGACGGUACCGUAAGAAUAAGCACCGGCUAACUCCGUGCCAGCAGCCGCGGUAAUACGGAGGGUGCAAGCGUUAUCCGGAAUCAUUGGGUUUAAAGGGUCCGUAGGCGGGCUAAUAAGUCAGGGGUGAAAUCCAACAGCUUAACUGUUGAACUGCCUUUGAUACUGUUAGUCUUGAAUUAUAUGGAAGUAGAUAGAAUGUGUAGUGUAGCGGUGAAAUGCUUAGAGAUUACACAGAAUACCGAUUGCGAAGGCAGUCUACUACGUAUA
Molecule: ribosomal RNA, 718 nt
Filed under: Lutibacter sp.
Lineage: Bacteria; Pseudomonadati; Bacteroidota; Flavobacteriia; Flavobacteriales; Flavobacteriaceae
Description: bacterial SSU rRNA
Rfam family: Bacterial small subunit ribosomal RNA
Source: RNAcentral